This 841-nucleotide ribosomal RNA is filed under the name uncultured Staphylococcus sp. RNAcentral describes it as "bacterial SSU rRNA". It matches the Rfam family "Bacterial small subunit ribosomal RNA", at positions 70 to 896 of the family's 1533-position model. The record is from RNAcentral. Lineage: Bacteria; Bacillati; Bacillota; Bacilli; Caryophanales; Staphylococcaceae.
GAUAAGGAGCUUGCUCCUUUGACGUUAGCGGCGGACGGGUGAGUAACACGUGGGUAACCUACCUAUAAGACUGGGACAACUUCGGGAAACCGGAGCUAAUACCGGAUAAUAUGUUGAACCGCAUGGUUCAAUAGUGAAAGAUGGUUUUGCUAUCACUUAUAGAUGGACCCGCGCCGUAUUAGCUAGUUGGUGAGGUAACGGCUCACCAAGGCAACGAUACGUAGCCGACCUGAGAGGGUGAUCGGCCACACUGGAACUGAGACACGGUCCAGACUCCUACGGGAGGCAGCAGUAGGGAAUCUUCCGCAAUGGGCGAAAGCCUGACGGAGCAACGCCGCGUGAGUGAUGAAGGUCUUAGGAUCGUAAAACUCUGUUAUUAGGGAAGAACAAACGUGUAAGUAACUGUGCACGUCUUGACGGUACCUAAUCAGAAAGCCACGGCUAACUACGUGCCAGCAGCCGCGGUAAUACGUAGGUGGCAAGCGUUAUCCGGAAUUAUUGGGCGUAAAGCGCGCGUAGGCGGUUUUUUAAGUCUGAUGUGAAAGCCCACGGCUCAACCGUGGAGGGUCAUUGGAAACUGGAAAACUUGAGUGCAGAAGAGGAAAGUGGAAUUCCAUGUGUAGCGGUGAAAUGCGCAGAGAUAUGGAGGAACACCAGUGGCGAAGGCGACUUUCUGGUCUGUAACUGACGCUGAUGUGCGAAAGCGUGGGGAUCAAACAGGAUUAGAUACCCUGGUAGUCCACGCCGUAAACGAUGAGUGCUAAGUGUUAGGGGGUUUCCGCCCCUUAGUGCUGCAGCUAACGCAUUAAGCACUCCGCCUGGGGAGUACGACCGCAAGUUG